This 801-nucleotide ribosomal RNA is filed under the name uncultured bacterium. RNAcentral's name for it is "bacterial SSU rRNA". It matches the Rfam family "Bacterial small subunit ribosomal RNA", at positions 69 to 866 of the family's 1533-position model. The record is from RNAcentral.
GCAGCGCGGGGCAACCUGGCGGCGAGUGGCGAACGGGUGAGUAAUAUAUCGGAACGUACCCAAGAGUGGGGGAUAACGCAGCGAAAGUUGCGCUAAUACCGCAUACGAUCUAAGGAUGAAAGCAGGGGACCGCAAGGCCUUGUGCUCCUGGAGCGGCCGAUAUCUGAUUAGCUAGUUGGUGAGGUAAAGGCUCACCAAGGCGACGAUCAGUAGCUGGUCUGAGAGGACGACCAGCCACACUGGAACUGAGACACGGUCCAGACUCCUACGGGAGGCAGCAGUGGGGAAUUUUGGACAAUGGGCGCAAGCCUGAUCCAGCAAUGCCGCGUGAGUGAAGAAGGCCUUCGGGUUGUAAAGCUCUUUUGUCAGGGAAGAAACGGCUGUGGCUAAUAUCCACGGCUAAUGACGGUACCUGAAGAAUAAGCACCGGCUAACUACGUGCCAGCAGCCGCGGUAAUACGUAGGGUGCAAGCGUUAAUCGGAAUUACUGGGCGUAAAGCGUGCGCAGGCGGUUUUGUAAGUCUGACGUGAAAUCCCCGGGCUUAACCUGGGAAUUGCGUUGGAGACUGCAAGGCUAGAAUCUGGCAGAGGGGGGUAGAAUUCUACGUGUAGCAGUGAAAUGCGUAGAGAUGUGGAGGAACAUCGAUGGCGAAGGCAGCUCUCCUGGGUCAAGAUUGACGCUCAUGCACGAAAGCGUGGGGAGCAAACAGGAUUAGAUACCUCUGGUAGUCUACGCUCUAAACGAUGUCUACUAGUUGUCGGGUCUUAAUUGACUUGGUAACGCAGCUAACGCGUGAAGUA